CCUACGGGAGGCAGCAGUGGGGAAUAUUGCACAAUGGGGGAAACCCUGAUGCAGCGACGCCGCGUGAGUGAAGAAGUAAUUCGUUAUGUAAAGCUCUAUCAGCAGGGAAGAAAAUGACGGUACCUGAGUAAGAAGCCACGGCUAACUACGUGACAGCAGCCGCGGUACUACGUAGGGGGCAAGCGUUAUCCGGAUUUACUGGGUGUAAAGGGAGCGUAGACGGCAGUGCAAGUAUGGAGUGAAAGGCGGGGGCUCAACCCUCAGACUGCAUUGGAAACUGUAAGGCUGGAGUGCAGGAGAGGUAAGUGGAAUUCCUAGUGUAGCGGUGAAAUGCGUAGAUAUUAGGAGGAACACCAGUGGCGAAGGCGGCUUACUGGACUGUAACUGACGUUGAGGCUCGAAAGCGUGGGGAGCAAACAGGAUUAGAUACCCUAGUAGUC
RNAcentral lists this ribosomal RNA (440 nucleotides) under uncultured bacterium. RNAcentral describes it as "partial 16S ribosomal RNA". It matches the Rfam family "Bacterial small subunit ribosomal RNA", at positions 338 to 795 of the family's 1533-position model. The record is from RNAcentral.